This 13234-nucleotide long non-coding RNA is filed under the name Sorghum bicolor (sorghum). RNAcentral's name for it is "long non-coding RNA (SBIC_LNC000780)". The record is from RNAcentral. Lineage: Eukaryota; Viridiplantae; Streptophyta; Magnoliopsida; Poales; Poaceae.
CCCACUAAGGUAAGUAUUCUAUCCUAUUUAUUUUCAUGCAUUUUAUCAUUCUUACUUAAAAAAAAUAAAUAUUUAUUAGCAUUUCCCUUUAGCAUAUAUGCUUCAUGUAUGUUUAUAUCCCUCAUGGAAAUUAUGACUAGUUGCUUGUUAAUGUUUCUCUAGUGCCUAGUAUACAACUUAGUAUUUCUCUAAGUAUGGAUCACUUAGCUCACUUAAACUGCCAUGAACCUAAAAACUUUGUGGGUUGCAAGUGCUAGAACUAAGUCUAAGUUGUUGUGGGACAUGAGAUAGUAAGACAAGAGCUACUAUAAUAUUUUUCUAAGCAUGCAUGAUUAUCAGAGAUUUAUUCUUAAAAUGAUCAAAACCUUAAUUGUUCCUCAAUGGUGAUGAAUUCCUACCAAAGCCAUAUCUACUUUACAUAAUUGCAACCUUUCCACAUAAGCUAUUUGCUUUGUGUUGAGUGUCGUCAAGUCUUGUUGACCCUUGUUAAGAGACUUUUCAUGCUCCUAAGAUCAAGAUCACGUACACACCACAUAUAUAUAUGCUGCUUCUACACUGGAAGUACGCAACCACAUGUAUUUCGCAUCCACUAAAUAAGUUGCUCCAUACUCUAAAUGUUAGAACAUCUCUCUAAGCAUUAUUUGGUAAAUGAGACAUCAAAAGGCUAGGCAAAAUGAAAUAAAAAGAUGGACAUGUGCAAGUCCACAGAAAAAGAAAAUUGAGCACAUGAAAGCUCAUAUAUAAAAAAAAAAGAGAAGAAAAAAAUGCUAGCCAUGUCUCAAUACAUAGAGAGUCUAUCAAAUAAAGGAGCAACCUAGUCCACCAUAUAUCACACUUGCACAUCUUGAUCUGGGAGUAUGACACUUCUUUUCAAGGAUCCGAGCUUUGACUUCGCAAUACAUGCAAAGUAAGUAUGCUAUCUCCUUUCAUCCCUACCUUGAACUCCACAUAAGCCUUUUAGAAAUAGGAUGAAAUAGAGAAGGCAACUCUUACCAUAUGCCUUGGUGAGGAAUCAUACACCAUUUGAGUGACACGAGAGAACCAUAAGAGGAACAUUUAAGCUUUCUUUUGAAAAUAUCACAAAACCUCUGAUAUGAAACUUGCUAAGAAUGAGAAAGUUAGUGCUCAAGUCAAACUGUUCUGUCUCUCAACCACCUAAGACAAAGGAAAAGCCAUAAGCCCCAUAAGGGACUAAGGUAAUAGGGGUAAGUUUACAUAGCUAAAUUUUUCAUGCAAAGAGAAGAACUUUGUUGUACACAUGGUACUCUUGAAAUGUGAACAUAGUAACAAUACCUGAUCCACCGAGGCUAAGUUUGAUUGUUUGCUCGGGACGAGCAAAGGUUAAGCUUGGGGGAUCUUGUUGACGGUGGAUAUACCAUAGAAAUCCACAUACAAAACACCGUCAACAUGCCUCGGUUGCAAGGGGAAACGACAUGACAUGAACAUAUUUUAUCCAUAACUAGUUCCACUUGUACUCUUAGCUUGUUUAUGCAGGAACAACAAAUUCAAGACAUUAUUUGACAAAGCCAACAUCAGAAUCAUUAAGAGGAGAUCGAGGGGACAACAGGUGACACCCUGGGCCCACAGGGAGGGGGUCGCCCGACCCCUCUUUGGUGGGACCCAGGUGUGCCACCUAGUCCACCGACAUAAGGGACCCCUGUGGACACUGCUGGUGGGCCCGGAGGCCCAGAAGUGGGGUCGCCCGACCCCACAUCAAAGGCGGUUCCAGGGUCGGUGGCCUCCCACCGACCUUCCCCACAUGUCCCACAUGUUGAUUUGCCCCUGCCGUUGAUCAAAUGGGGGUUGUGAGGUCGGUUUGAUCCAAGGGUGGAGAGAAGAUGUCACGCGGAUCGAUGACGUGGCGAUGGAGUAACCCCUACUCCAUCUCCCUCUAUAAAAGGCAGCCUCCAUCCUUCAUUUCAAGUGUGCAAUUCCAAGGCCAAGUGCAUUACAAGUUCCAAGCAUACAAGUAGAGUAGUAGUUAGUCUAGAGUGGGAGUUAGAGUCGAGUCGAGCGAAGCUCGGGGUCUCCGGAGUCGUCUUCUGGAGAGUCUGGUAUAGCUCUUGUACCUUUCUACUUUUGUAAGACUUUCCUUUUAUUAAUAUAUUAUUCUUACUUUACUUUACUGAGUUCUUACUUAGUGCAAGUCUUUUAGUCUUGUUGUGCAUUUACUUUAGUAAUAUAGUUGUCUUAGUGAAGUUAGUGACCUGUAACCACUCCUGUGUGUGCAUCAUCGUCCUAUCUUGUAUAGGAGCUCUAGCUAGCUGCAACUAGUUAGCGUUGUAGGAUUAAGUGUGAGCGUGGUGCUCAUACUUAAGAUUACCUUUGAUUACCGCUGGCUUGAACGGAAAGUAGGAGCGCACUCCCUAGUAGGUGACAGAUCGUGGGCGGCAUUAGGUUCUCCUCACGUACAGGCUAGUUCUUAAAAGGUAAGGCGUCCAUAAGCCCAAUAGUCGCUUUCGGUAAGGGGUUAGGUGAAAAACCUUCUAAGCGUCUUACCAGCUCGGUUAUCCCUCGCACACAGUUAGUAAGGCUCUAGCGUAGUUAAGACAAUUAUCUAUUAAAGUAAGUCACAGAAGUCAAGUUAGAUACAUAGGAGUCCUUUACUCACUCGUUGUCCUCCCACCUAGCUAACUCUACCAUUUACCUUUAGCAUAGGACCUUGGAUUCACCACUACCCUUCCUAUUCGUUAUUUACCACCCUUAAUCACUAGUUGAUACUAGAUAACUCAAGGAAUCUCAUUCCCCUUUUUGUUAAACACACUUAGCCGCUUUCCCUUGGGAAAAUAUAAAUUACGAUACCUUGGAAUACUCCUUGGUGAAGUGCUACAGCGGUACAUUCUGUGCGCUUGCGGAAUUAUCCAAUAGUAAAUAGAGUUACCCUACCAGGGCACUUCUGGCGCCGUCGCCGAUAUCCGGUGGUUGCGUUAAGAAGUGUCAACAGGACACCACAAGAACCUACCCACAAGUGAGGUAACUCAAUGACACAAGCAAUCCACUAGAGUUACCUUUCGGCUCUCCGCUAGGAAGGUACAAGACCCCUCACAAUCACCGGGAGAUGGCCACGAACAAUCACCAACUCGUGCCAAUCCUCCUCCGCUGCUCCAAGCCGUCUAGGUGGCGGCAACCACCAAGAGUAACAAGAAAACAGCAGCUAGAACGAUCCUCAAGUACCACUAGAUGCAAUCACUCAAGCAAAUGCACUUGGAAUCACUCCCAAUCUCACAAAGAUGUAUAAUCUAUGAAGGAGAUGAGUGGGAGGUGUUUGCUUAGGCUCACAAGGAUGUCUAGUAGUCAAGAAUGCCAAGAGGGUGAGCCCUAAGCCGGCCAACAACUAUUUAUAGACCCCUCAAACAAAAAGAGUCGUUGGCUCUCUCACUAGGUCUAACUCGGGGUCACCGGACGCUCUUAAAGGGGCACCGGACGCUCAACACCUGCGUCCGGUGCUCCAACGUCAGCCGCGUGUCAGUAUCUAACGGUAACCUGCAGAGCACAGGACGCUGAGCAAGUUAGCACCGGACGCGUCCGGUGCACACCGGACUCAUGCGCAGAGAGUUCCGCAAACCUGCGGGUCACCGGACGCUAAGCACCGGUAGCGUCCGGUGCUCACCGGACCCAUGCGCAGAGAUGGUUGCAAAACGCCCGCACACCGGACGCUAACCACCGGACUCUCUCUGGUGCGUCCGGUGCACUCUGCUGCACCCGACAGCACACCGGACCCUAAAGGCCAGCGUCCGGUGCCUCCGCGCAGAGCGUCCGGUGAGUGUUUCCUACUGAGAAACACUCCCGCGACUUCUCCAAAACUCCCACCGGCGCAAUAGAAAAUAUGCACUUCAUUUUCUUAAAAAGCGUCGAAUCAAACUCCACCUCCUUCUCAAAGUGUGCCAACACCACAAAGUGUAAACCAACAUGUGCACGUGUGUUAGCAUUUUCACAAUUAUUUUCUUCGAAGGAGUUAAGUUAGCUCACUAGGUUCUAAAUGCAUGCACAUGAACAAUGACACCUAGUGGCACUCGAUAACCGCAUAGCCAAAGAAUUCCCCUAUUUAUAGUACGGCUAUCUAUCCUAAAUGUGAUCACACCCUCUAUGGUGUCUUGAUCACCAAAAUCAAAACCCUAAGCAAUACCUUUGCCUUGAUCUCCAUAGAGUUUUGUUUUUCUCUUUCUUCUUUUGCAAGUUGAGCACUUGAUCAUCUUGUGGUCAUCACCAUCAUCACCAUGAUCAUCACUUGCUCCAUCACUUGGCAUGUGUUGACGGUCCUUAAGUAUCAAAUUUAAUUAUCAAAUAAACAAAGAAAAGGAUCCAAAUGAAAUCAAUAUCUAGACUUAGGGUUUUAUCUGACAGAAUUCCACGAGUUUUGGUGUUUGUCUAUUUCUGCAGGGGGUUAUCAGGAAAUAAGGAAGAAAGGCCCACAUGUCGGGAUUACAUAGAGAUAUCAAUGCACCGCGCAAUUUAUUACCAUCUAGAAGACUCCAGAAGCCACGGGAAGGAAGCGGGGGCCGAAAGGGGCCAGGCCCAGGGCGCCCGCCCUGGUGACCUGGGCGCCCGCCCACCUCUGGAAGCCCUUCGGGACUCUCUUCGCACACGACGUUCCACCGACCUAUUGGAUCAAGGAAAACAUAGUACCACCUCGCCUACCGACCCAAAAACGCAUAGAGGAGGAGGACUAUAUAAGGAGACCCCCCUGGCCCCAGGAGAAGACAAGAAAUUAUCAUAGAGAUUGAGGGGUGCCCUCGAAGGAAAACCUCUUCUCUAAUUAAUAUUUCUGUUUAGGCUUAGCAACCAAUGUAAAGUAGAAAUAGAUCUUCUAGUUUCUACUAGAUUGAGAGAGAUAGAGUGGAGGUGUAGAUUGGAGGAAGCCCGGCCUGUCGGUGUCUACUCCAAGCUUGUACCUGCGGGAUCAAGUUCUCCUAACCCGAAGCUUGCUCCUAGGAUUCUUCAGUAUUUCGACUUCUAAAUUCUAGUAAGUUCUUGUUUUAUUGUUCUUAUGGUUUAUGAGUUUACUUUAAUCUCUUCGCGUAGAGUUUAGAGUAAUCAUUGCUGGCGUAAACGUGGUGUUUAGGCUGGGGUACUCAUAGAUAUUCCCUGACUAGCUGGACCGUGGUAGUAGUGAGGAACGUGACAAUUCCGAGUUACCUUUGCAGAUCACAUCUCGUUAGCAGGAAGGAUAGGGUUUAUAGGUGCGGGUUGAACAUCCUUUGUGGUGUCUAGAUUCCGUUAGCCUCCCCAUUAGAACAGCAGAUCAUUGUUGACGGUGUAUAUACCAUAGAAAUCCACAUACAAAACACCGUCAACAUGCCUCGGUUGCAAGGGGAAAUGACAUGACAUGAACAUAUUUUAUCCAUAACUAGUUCCACUUGUACUCUUAGCUUGUUUAUGCAGGAACAACAAAUUCAAGACAUUAUUUGACAAAGCCAACAUCAGAAUCAUCAAGAGGAGAUCGAGGGGACAACAGGUGACACCCUGGGCCCACAGGGAGGGGGUCGCCCGACCCCUCUUUGGUGGGACCCAGGUGUGCCACCUACUCCACCGACAUAAGGGACCAUUGUGGACACUGCUAGUGGGCCCAGGUGGUCAGGAGUGGGGUCGCCCGACCCCACAUGUAAGGCGGUUUCAGGGUCGGUGGCCUCCCACCGACCUUCCCCACAUGUCUCACGUGUUGGUUUGCCCCUGCCGUUGAUCAAAUGGCGGUUGUGAAGUCGGUUUGAUCCAAGGGUGGAGAGGCAUGAUCACACGGAUCGAUGACGUGGCGGUGGAGUAGCCCCUACUCCACCUCUCCCUAUAAAUAGAGGCUGAUUUCACCCUUCCAAGGCAUGAUGAAUUCAAGGUUCAAGUAUCCAAGCUAGAUACAAGUGAGUAGUAGUAGUAGUAGUCUAGUGUGGGAGUUAGAGUUGAGUCGAGCGAAGCUCGGGGUCUCCGGAGUCGUCUUCUGGAGAGUCUGGUAUAGCCCUUGUAUCUUUUCUCCUGUAAGACUUGUUUUCUUAAUAUAUUCUCUUUCUACUUUUCUAAGUAUUACUUUGUGCAAUAUUAUUCUUGCAAUAGUAUUGUAGUGUUCUAUCUUGUCCUUUAGUAGUUACAUAUUAGAUUGUGAACCUGUAACAAGCUCGUGGCUGUUUCCCAUCGCCUUUAGCAAGGUGCUAUAGUUGUUUGAUCGCAGCUAGAGUAGUGAGAGUUAGCGUAAGCGCGGUGCUUAGGCUAGGUCUUGCCUUUGGGUGUCGCUGGCUCGGACGGAAAGUAGGGGCGCACUCCCUAGGAGGUGACAGAUCGUGGGCGGCAUUAGGUUCUCCUCACGUACGAGCUAGUUCUUAAAAGAUAAGGCGUCCAUAAGCCCAAUAGUCGCUUUCGGUAAGGGGUUAGGUGAAAAACCUUUUAAGCGUCUUACCAGCUCGGCUAUCCCUGGCAGCCAUUAGUAAGGUAUCAAUCUAGUGUGUCUCUGCUAUUUGAUUAAGAUUAGUUCACGAGAGUAGAAUUAGAUAUCCUAGGAACCUGUACUCACUCGUUGUCCUCCCACCUAGCUACUCUACUCUAGUUAUCUUGUAGUUAUCCUUUUUGAUUAUCUCUGGAUCAUCAUCAUCCCUUCCUUCACCUUUCGUUACCACCUCUCUGCACUAGUUGUAACUAAGUUGAGAUAGGAUCUCUUUUCUUACAAGCAUUUCUAGCUAUUGCUUUCCCUUGGGAAAAUAUAAAUUACGAUACCUUGGAAUACUCCCAGGUGAAGUGCUACAGCGGUACCUUCUGUGCGCUUGCGGAAUUAUCCAAUAGUUAAUAGAGUUACCACACCAGGCAUUUCUGGCGCCAUCACCGAUAUCCGGUGGUUGCGUUAAGAAGUGCCAACAAGCAUUUCUGGCGCCGUUGCCGGGGAAAGCAUAGCCUAGAAAUCUUAGUAAGAACGAAUCCGAAAAAAAAUAUCAUCAACUUAGUAUCAAUUAGUUGUAGGGGGGGUUUACCCCUUGCCUUUGUUUCUCUAUAUUGUGAAGCAGGGCAUUGUAUGAGUGAGUUCCAAUUCAAGGCCACAUUAGAAAAUCCUGAGACAUCCCGACAGAGUCCUAGACACCGUCUAGUAACUUAUCGGAGAUCCAGCUCAUACUUGAAUUCACUCAAGGAAGGAGGCUUAGCACCGACACUCUACCAGUCAAUGGCUUCCUCAUCAAUCUCCGACUUCUCAUCUCCAUCAGUUGCCCAUGUUACCAUUGGACCGAGGGUGGAGGUCGAAGAUGUCGACUUUGAGAUUAAGCCAUCACUUAUCACUAUGGUGCAAGCAAGUACAUUUAGUGGGAAGCCACAUGAAGAUGCAAAUGCACAUCUCCAACACUUUUUGGAAGUGUGUAGCACUAUUGCCAUCAGAGGGGUAACGGCCGACGCCAUCCGCCUUCGCCUAUUCCCAUUCCCAUUGCUUGGGAAGGCAAAGCAAUGGUUUUACGCUCAACCCGAUGAUGUCAACACCUGGAGAAGAUGUGCCAAUGCAUUUCUCAAGAAAUUCUUCCCAAUGGGCAAGACAUCUGCUCUGAGGGCAAAGAUUUCAAGCUUCCAACAUAAGGCAGACGAGACUAUUCCCGAAGCAUGGGAACGUCUGCAGGAGUACAUUCAAGAGUGUCCACAUCAUGGAAUUAAAGAGUGGCUCCUGAUUCAAGGUUUCUACCAUGGGCUGACUCCAGUAGCUCGUAGCCACCUUGAUGCCGCCGCAAGAGGAGCGUUUACCUCCCUCAAUGUCACUCAAGCUAAAACUCUCAUUGAGAACAUAGUGACAAAUCAAACAUGGAGAGAAGAACGCCCUCAACUCAAGAAGAGAAGCACGAAAACCAUUGAAGAGGUAAAUGAAAUAUCUCACAAGAUGGAGUUCUUGUUGAAGAAGUUGGAUGAAGGAGCCAAGGUAAAGAAAGAUCGAGAGGCCAUCCAACAAUACGCCACUGCACGUGCGAACCAACGGAGCAGGGUGCAAAAUGCAAGCCAUGAAGCUGUGCAAUCCUUCAACAAUGGACGACCAACUUCGCGCUUCCAGGGCCAAGGUAACUCUAGUAACUCUAACUGGCUUUCACUUAAAGAACUUGUCAUUAAUCAAGCUAAAAUCAAUGAAAGCAUGAACAAAAGAUUGUUAGCUAAUGACAAGACUCUUGAAUCAUUAACUGCUAAAAUGGAUUCCCUUGUUUCUUCUGUUAAGGACCAAUUAAACUUUAAUAAAAUUUUAGAGUCUCAAAUAGCACAAAUUGCUGCUACUGUUCCUUCUUCUGUAAAUUCUUGCAAUAUCUUUAAUGUGACCACGAGAGGGGGUAAGACCACUCGUGAUCCACCAUAUCCUGACAUGAAAAAAAAGACUGCAAGAAAAGAUAAGGAAGUUGAGGAAGACAAGAAAGAAGCACCAUCUAAGCAGGAAAACACCAAGUUCUAUGGAAAGACAGCUCCGCACGAGUUCUACGACACCAACAUUCUGCUGCCAUUUCCAAGAACAAGGAAGCCAACCACCGAUGAACAAUUCGGGAAGUUUGUUGAGGUAAUUCGGCAAUUAUAUGUCAAUAUUCCACUACUUGAUGCAAUGCAGGUUCCAACCUAUGCCAAGUAUUUGAGAGACAUCCUCAACAACAAACGCCCGCUGCCUACAACUGAGGUGAUUAAGCUAACAGAAGAAUGCAGCGCGGCGAUACUAAACCAACUACCAGAAAAGAAGAAGGACCCUGGAUGUCCUACCAUCGACUGCUCCAUUGGGACACAUCACUUCGAGCAUGCACUGUGCGACUUGGGAGCUAGUGUCAAUGUCAUGCCAAAGGUAAUAUUUGAUAAACUAACCCAUGCUGUUUUGUCCCCUACAUCAAUACAUUUGCAGUUAGCGGAUCAGUCAAUUCGCCAUCCUGCGGGGGUAGCUGAGAAUAUCCCCGUAAAGAUACGCGAGUUCCUGAUCCCUGUGGAUUUCGUGGUACUCGACAUGGAGGUGGAUGAAAAGACUCCACUUAUCCUGGGAAGACCAUUUCUCAGCACUGCUAAUGCACAUAUUGACGUUGGAGCCGGAGAAAUUCAAUUUACAAUCAAUGGGGCCCAGGAGAAGUUCAACUUCAAACCAAAGGUAGUGCAAUGCUCACUAAUCUUGGCAGUGGAUGUGGCAACCGUCACAUUCAUAACUAGGCCAAAGAAAAAGACCAAUCCAACGCCAAGAGCAAAGAGCAAGAAAAUAUGGAAGAAGAAGGUAAUACAACCGAUGACACCUCCGAAGAAAAUUUCUGUAUCAACUCAAGGAGGAGGUCCUGUUCUAAGGACCUGAGGUAACAGCUCUUCCAUCAAGGUAAGCCCACUGACCUUUAACUUUAAGUUACUUAUUAAACUUCCUUCAUCUUUUCCAACCCUUCUAUCAACUUGAGUUAAGACAAGUAAAGUAAAAAUAAAAACUCACUGAGCAAGGUGGACACUCACAUCUUGUGUCCUUUGCCACUUCCUGUCAUGACAUGCUAUGCUCCAUUCAAGAAAACACCAAAACAUUACCAUGUCAACUCAUGUAAUCCCACUUGAUCAACGAAUUGAACCGUGCAUGAGAAUUCUCUAACUCUUUCAUCUAUUUUUCUUGCAUGUGCUUGUUCUGUUACUAGUGUAGUGUGCCCAGCAUUACUCAAGAGUGAAAGGAGGGGUCGGCCGACCCCAUGGUUGGCCCCACUUCCUCCCCUCCUCUGGUGUAUGGCAGCACAAGUAAUGUAGGGAGAGUGAGUAUAGAAAUAAAGACUCAUAAACAUCGACACUCACCCUAGGAGCUAGAGUUUCUAGUUCUCAUCCCCUGCUUCCACUAAAACGUAAGUGAAAUUAGGAGACACUGCUAACUUAACAAAAACCAUCUUCUUCUUUCUAAAGUCACUUAAGCAACCCCUAGACAAAUCACUCUUGCUAAGUAUGGGAAAGAUACUUGCUUAAAGCCUUAAGUAAAUCAACAUUUUGAGAAGCUCAUCCCGUGAAGCAUCUCAUGAGCAAACAUCCACCCAUCUAGUCUUGUCUUGUUCCCUCCUUUCUCUUUCACCACAUUCCAAGAAGAGAUUCUUUGAGAAAACAUCCAAAAGAAAGGAGAGAGUGAGUGGAGAUGGGGAACCAGCCAUGGCACACAUUCAUCAUCAAUCUGGUGAACAGCUAGCGCAAAGAGGAGGUGGUGAUGGGGUCGCCCGACCCCCUCCCUGCAGCAUUCCUUAUUUCUUUCUUUCCCAUCCAUCUUUCCUUGACACAAGGUGUUGGCCAUUUGUGGUUUCGUGGAAAAAGAGGGGUCGGCCGACCCUGACAAAGUGCCCUCUGCACUUGUCCUCUCUUCCAUCCACUCACUCAUUCACUCACAACCAUUUUCCUCUACUAGCAACUCAAGAAAAUCAUCAACACUCUUCCUUUCACUUUCCCUAUUGCUCAAGUGUUCACUCGUCGAGAAAUCAAGAGAGGUAAUCAGCCGGUAAGAAGAGUUAAAAUCUAACCUAACCUCUCUAGUGGAAGUGGUGUUCGUUAUUUUCUUGAUCUAGCAUGAAGAAUCCACUCAAGAACAUAGGGAAGAAAGUGCGUGGAGCGUUUAGCGGAAGCUCAUCAAGGCACUCCCAUGGCACCAUGAGUUCGGUAGAAGAGUACUCCUCUCAUCAGGGACUUCCCUCUGAGACUCAUGAGGAGCAAGAGCAUGAGGCCAUGCCACAGCAAACACCACUUAAUGAAGAAGCAGCACCUCUACGGAUGCAAGAUAUAGAGACCGGACUUUUGCUCACCGUAGAAGAAAUGGAGAAGCUUAACCAUCUACGCCACCGUGAAUUCAAGCAUACCAAGGUAAUUGACCCUAAAUUCCUCAAAGACACAGGUAUGUAUGAGGAAUUCUUUGAUGUCUUUGCUGCAAUAGGAUGGGGUGAAUUUUGGGACUUUUCGGAACACCUAGGUAGCAAGAUUCUCACUCUAGAAUUUUUGAGCACCGUAAGGGUAACCGAAACAACCAUUUACUUUCGCCUAAGAAACCAAGAUUAUGAUUUCACAUGGGACCAUCUAGCUGCAUGUUUAGGCUUUAUGAAUUUUAAAACCAACGUAGAAGUUGCCACAAGGGGUUUUAAUAGACAAGAAUUUUGGCAUGAAAUAACUGGGGAGAAUCUAAUUGGAAAGACUUACCCACGUACUAGCCAUAUUUGCCAUCCCACACUACGGUUCAUGCACAAAUGGAUAGGCAUCACUCUAUUCCCUAGAGAUGACAUUCGAAUUGUGCGGGAAAUUGAUAAUAGAAUUCUAUAUGCCAUGGUGAAUAGAAUUCGUAUUGCACCGGUAAAAGCCAUGGUACAUCAUUGGAUCACUAUAGCAUGGAAGAAUGACCCAAUUGAGUUCACCUCUAUAAUUACAAAAUUGUGUGAUUACAUUUUGAUCCUUGAUGACACCAUCCAGUACAUACCCACUCCUAGAACUGUGUUAGGAAAAUAUCGUUUCAUUCAAGCAAAAGUAAUUACGCGUGGCCCCAAUGACACAAUUGAAUUUAUAUUGCGUAAAUCAAAUGCAAGACUCAUUUUGCCACAACCAGAGUUAAAAUUAUACGGGGGCCACCCGUUAAUGCCUAAUGUUCCUGGAGUUGGAGGACGUAGAAGUUUUGCAGGGCCAUUCACACGUGGACAGUCACGAGCUGAACAGCAAGAUGAUUCAGAUAAUGAGGGCACUUCCAAUGCCAUGCACACCUCCGGGACGGGGAGGAGACGUAGUGCCCGGUUGUCUCUUUCUUCUUCGCAGGAGAUUGGAAACCGCAGUCACCGUCAUGACAUGGAGCUACUCAGAUCAGGUAUGGCUACAUUGCGUACUAACCAUGAAGCCAUUCACACUGCCACUGUGGAAACCCAACAGCAAAUCCAAAAUUUUGAGGAGAGCAGCAAUAAAAACUGGUGCCAAGCCUACACAUCAUAUCACCUGCCCGUACCACCAUACAUUCCUCAACCACCACAUGCAUAUCCACCUCCUCCUGCACAAUAUCCUCCACAGCAAUAUCCUCCACCAUAUCCACCAUAUCCAUCGUAUCCACCCCAGUGAGGAAGGACAAGCUUGGGGGAGAUCCUCUCCCCCACCAAGGUAAGUAUUCUAUCCUAUUUAUUUCCAUGCAUUUUAUCAUUCUUGCUCUAAAAAAAAAUUAGCAUUUCCCUUUAGCAUAUAUGCUUCAUGUAUGUCUAUAUCCCUCAUUGAAAUGAUGACUAGUUUCUUGUUAAUGUUUCUCUAGUACCUAGUAUACAACUUAGUAUUUCUCCAAGUAUGGAUCACUUAGCUCACUUAAACUGCCAUGAACCUGAAAACUUUGUGGGUUGCAAGUGCUAGAACUAAGUCUAAGUUGUUGUGGGACAUGAGAUAGUGAGACAAGAGCUGCUAUAAUAUUAUUCUAAGCAUGCAUGAUUAUCAGAGAUUUAUUCUUAAAAUGAUCAAACCCUUAAUUGUUCCUCAAUGGUGAUGAAUUCCUACCACAGCUAUAUCUACUUUACAUGAUUGCAACCUUUCCACAUAAGCUAUUUGCUUUGUGUUGAGUGUCGUCAAGUCUUGUUGACCCCUGUUAAGAGACUUUUCAUGCUCCUAAGAUCAAGAUCACGUACACACCACAUAUAUAUAUGCUGCUUCUACACUGGAAGUACGCAACCACAUGUAUUUCGCAUCCACUAAAUAGGUUGCUCCAUACUCUAAAUGUUAGAAUAUCUCUCUCUAAGCAUUAUUUGGUAAAUGAGACAUCAAAAGCCUAGGCAAAAUGAAAUAAAAAGAUGGACAUGUGCAAGUCCACAAAAAAAAAUGAGCACAUAAAGCUCGAAGAAAAAGAAAAUGCUAGCCAUGUCUCAAUAUACAAGUAGAGAGAGUGUAGCAAAUAAAGGAGCAACCUAGUCCACCAUAUAUCACACUUGCACAUCUUGAUCUGGGAGUAUGACACUUCUCUUCAAGGAUCCGAGCUUUGACUUCGCAACACAUGCAAAGUAAGUAUGCUAUCUCCUUUCAUCCCUACCUUAAGCUCCACAUAAGCCUUUUAGAAAUAGGAUGAAAUAGAGAAGGCAACUCUAUCAUAUGCCUUGGUGAGGAAUUAUACACCAUUUGAGUGACAUGAGAGAACCAUAUGAGGAACAUUUAAGUUUUCUUUUGAAAAUAUCACAAAACCUCUGAUAUGAAACUUGCUAAGAAUGAGAAAGUUUGUGCUCAAGUCAAACUGUUCUGUCUUUCAACCACCUAAGACAAAGGAAAAGCCAUAAGCCCCAUAAGGGACUAAGGUAAUAUGGGUAAGUUUACAUAGCUAAAUUUUUCAUGC